GAUGAACGCUGGCGGCGUGCCUAAUACAUGCAAGUCGAGCGAACAGACGAGGAGCUUGCUCCGCUGACGUUAGCGGCGGACGGGUGAGUAACACGUGUAUAACCUACCUAUAAUACUGGGAUAACUUCGGGACACCGGCGCUAAUACCGGAUAAUAUAUUGAACCGCAUGGGUCAAUGGAGAAAGACGGUUUUGCUGGCUGGUGUGGAUGGAUUCGCGCCGUAUCAGCUUGUUGGUGAGUUAGUGGCUUACCAAGGCGAGGAUGCGUAGGCGACCUGAGAGGGUGACCGGCGACACUGGGACUGAGGGACGGCCCAGACUGGUACGGGAGGGAGCAGGGGGGAAUAUUGCACAAUGGGCGGAAGCCUGAUGCAGCAACGCCGCGUGCGGGAAAACGGUCUUCGGGGGGUAAACCGAUUUCGCCUGUAACGAAGCGUGAGUGACGGUAACGGGUAAAGAAGCACCGGCUAACUACGUG
This 477-nucleotide ribosomal RNA is filed under the name uncultured bacterium. Its description in RNAcentral is "partial 16S ribosomal RNA". It matches the Rfam family "Bacterial small subunit ribosomal RNA", at positions 28 to 507 of the family's 1533-position model. The record is from RNAcentral.